AGGAAUGUUCCAAACGCGCCAACAACGGGAAGUUCACUCUCCGAGACCUGCUCGUGGUCCCAAUGCAGCGCGUGUUAAAGUACCACCUUCUCCUGCAGGAGCUGGUCAAGCAUACCACCGACCCCACAGAGAAGGCGAAUCUGAAGCUGGCUCUGGAUGCAAUGAAGGACUUGGCACAGUAUGUGAACGAAGUGAAGAGAGACAACGAGACCCUGCG
Myotis lucifugus (little brown bat) is the source of this 217-nucleotide long non-coding RNA. RefSeq lists it as uncharacterized. The annotation marks the transcript as partial. Lineage: Eukaryota; Metazoa; Chordata; Mammalia; Chiroptera; Vespertilionidae. The record is from RefSeq and is a predicted model, not a curated record. The transcript has 3 exons.